UGGGGAAUAUUGCGCAAUGGGCGAAAGCCUGACGCAGCAACGCCGUGUGAGGGAUGAAGGCUUUCGGGUCGUAAACCUCUGUCGGAAGGGAAGAACGGGCAUUGGUCUAAUAGGCCUUUGUUUUGACGGUACCUUUAGAGGAAGCACCGGCUAACUCCGUGCCCGCAGCCGCGGUAAGACGGAGGGUGCAAGCGUUAUUCGGAAUUACUGGGCGUAAAGCGCACGUAGGCGGCUUCGUAAGUCAGGGGUGAAAUCCCACGGCUCAACCGUGGAACUGCCGUGGAAACUGCAAAGCUUGAAUGCUGGAGAGGGUGGCGGAAUUCCUGGUGUAGGAGUGAAAUCCGUAGAUAUCAGGAGGAACACCGGUGGCGAAGGCGGCCACCUGGACAGGUAUUGACGCUGAGGUGCGAAAGUGUGGGGAGCAAACA
RNAcentral lists this ribosomal RNA (428 nucleotides) under uncultured prokaryote. Its description in RNAcentral is "bacterial SSU rRNA". It matches the Rfam family "Bacterial small subunit ribosomal RNA", at positions 355 to 774 of the family's 1533-position model. The record is from RNAcentral.